ACCUGCAUGUGGCCUAAUGGAUAAGGUGUCUGAUUUCAGAUCAGAAGAUUGAGGGUUCGAGUCCCUUUGUGGUUG
Molecule: transfer RNA, 75 nt
Filed under: Megalops atlanticus (tarpon)
Lineage: Eukaryota; Metazoa; Chordata; Actinopteri; Elopiformes; Megalopidae
Description: tRNA-Sec
Rfam family: tRNA (bases 6-71)
About the family: Transfer RNA (tRNA) molecules are approximately 80 nucleotides in length. Their secondary structure includes four short double-helical elements and three loops (D, anti-codon, and T loops).
Source: RNAcentral